CACAAUGGGCGAAAGCCUGACGCAGCGACGCCGCGUGAGGGAUGACGGCCUUCGGGUUGUAAACCUCUUUCAGCAGGGACGAAGCGCAAGUGACGGUACCUGCAGAAGAAGCACCGGCUAACUACGUGCCAGCAGCCGCGGUAAUACGUAGGGUGCAAGCGUUGUCCGGAAUUACUGGGCGUAAAGAGCUCGUAGGCGGUUUGUCGCGUCGUCUGUGAAAACCCGCGGCUCAACCCCGGACUUGCAGGCGAUACGGGCAGACUAGAGUACUGCAGGGGAGACUGGAAUUCCUGGUGUAGCGGUGAAAUGCGCAGAUAUCAGGAGGAACACCGGUGGCGAAGGCGGGUCUCUGGGC
RNAcentral lists this ribosomal RNA (355 nucleotides) under uncultured bacterium. Its description in RNAcentral is "bacterial SSU rRNA". It matches the Rfam family "Bacterial small subunit ribosomal RNA", at positions 367 to 734 of the family's 1533-position model. The record is from RNAcentral.